RNAcentral lists this transfer RNA (365 nucleotides) under uncultured Microcystis sp. RNAcentral's name for it is "partial 16S-23S ribosomal RNA intergenic spacer". The stretch from base 136 to 209 matches the Rfam family "tRNA". The record is from RNAcentral. Lineage: Bacteria; Bacillati; Cyanobacteriota; Cyanophyceae; Chroococcales; Microcystaceae.
AAAGGGAGACCUAAUUCAGGUAGGAGACGAAAAAAAAGUAGUCCCUACCAAGAAUCAAUCCCAAAAGGUCGGAGCGAGGCAAAAUUGGCUUUCAAACUAGGUUCUGGGUUCACACAAGACCUGAAUCAGGAACAAGGGCUAUUAGCUCAGGUGGUUAGAGCGCACCCCUGAUAAGGGUGAGGUCCCUGGUUCGAGUCCAGGAUGGCCCACCUGCACAGGUGGCAAAAACAAAGAAAAGAAGCGAGGAAUCAGCACCUUAUCUUACUUAUAUAGUAAGAGAGAAUGCUGGCUCUGAGUUCAGAGUCCAGAGGAACCUUGAAAACUGCAUAGAGCUAGGUGAAAAAGCCAAAAAAGAAGACCACAAG